CCUACGGGAGGCUGCAGUGGGGAAUAUUGGACAAUGGGGGGAACCCUGAUCCAGCCAUGCCGCGUGUGUGAAGAAGGCCCUCGGGUUGUAAAGCACUUUCAGUGAGGAAGAACGCCUGGUGGUUAAUACCCAUCAGGAAAGACAUCACUCACAGAAGAAGCACCGGCUAACUCCGUGCCAGCAGCCGCGGUAAUACGGAGGGUGCGAGCGUUAAUCGGAAUUACUGGGCGUAAAGCGCGCGUAGGUGGCUUGAUAAGCCGGUUGUGAAAGCCCGGGGCUCAACCUGGGAACGGCAUCCGGAACUGUCAAGUUAGAGUGCAGGAGAGGAAGGUAGAUUUCCCGGUGUGGCGGGGAAAUGCGUAGAGAUCGGGAGGAAUACCAGUGGCGAAGGCGGCCUUCGGGACUGACACUGACACUGAGGUGCGAAAGCGUGGGUAGCAAACAGGAUUAGAUACCCUGGUAGUC
RNAcentral lists this ribosomal RNA (465 nucleotides) under Vreelandella stevensii. RNAcentral describes it as "partial 16S ribosomal RNA". It matches the Rfam family "Bacterial small subunit ribosomal RNA", at positions 338 to 795 of the family's 1533-position model. The record is from RNAcentral. Lineage: Bacteria; Pseudomonadati; Pseudomonadota; Gammaproteobacteria; Oceanospirillales; Halomonadaceae.